AACGAACGCUGGCGGCAGGCUUAACACAUGCAAGUCGAACGGCUGUAGCAAUACAGCAGUGGCAGACGGGUGAGUAACACGUGGGAACCUUCCUAGGGGUACGGAACAACUCAGGGAAACUUGAGCUAAUACCGUAUACGUCCGUGAGGAGAAAGAUUUAUCGCCCUUAGACGGGCCCGCGUCGGAUUAGGUAGUUGGUGGGGUAACGGCCUACCAAGCCUACGAUCCGUAGCUGAUCUGAGAGGAUGAUCAGCCACACUGGGACUGAGACACGGCCCAGACUCCUACGGGUGGCAG
RNAcentral lists this ribosomal RNA (297 nucleotides) under uncultured Pseudomonadota bacterium. RNAcentral's name for it is "uncultured proteobacterium partial 16S ribosomal RNA". It matches the Rfam family "Bacterial small subunit ribosomal RNA", at positions 29 to 351 of the family's 1533-position model. Lineage: Bacteria; Pseudomonadati; Pseudomonadota. The record is from RNAcentral.